Mytilus trossulus (common blue mussel) is the source of this 1300-nucleotide long non-coding RNA. RefSeq lists it as uncharacterized. NCBI's taxonomy places the organism in Eukaryota, Metazoa, Mollusca, Bivalvia, Mytilida, Mytilidae. The transcript has 3 exons. The record is from RefSeq and is a predicted model, not a curated record.
AAGUUAUUUUUAACACCUACAAGUUUAAAACGGUAGGUUAUUCAUAUAAAUCUUGCAAUUGAUUAAUGUAAAUAUCACCAUUUAUACAGAUUCGUACUUUAAGAAAAAAUGUGAAAUUGAUUUGAUUGACUGAGGGAUCAUUGGUUAAUGUCCAGUGGGUUGUAUUUUAUACAAAUUGAGGACGUCAUGAUGGGUUUAUAUUUUUUGCGGAAUGUACUUCACUAGAGCGAGACACUACACAAGUCAAAUAUUUAUAUACUAUCGCACAAGGGAAUAUUGCACUGGAACACGUCUAGGGCUGAUAAACUGAUGAAUUAGGAAGUCAUAACAGUGGAUUACAAGUGGAAAUACAAGAAAGCCAGCACGAGUGAAUGAUGUUCGAAUUUUUUUCAUUCAACUUUUCUGAAAGUUUCGUUGAAAAUGUUCAUCUCUCCUGCAUAUUACUUUUUCUGGUUUUGGGAAUGCUCAUACUUAUAUUAUUUCUAUCGACAUUCUUGAAGUAUGACCACACAAAUUCACAUAGUUUAUUCCUCGCUUUGUUUAUCGGAUUCGUUCAUCAAAGUUUUGUGUCAAUGCACUGGUUAAAAUCAACAUAUCAUAUCAAUGUUAUUACUGAGUUCGUCUUCGAUUGGUACACGUUUCCUGUUGCCUGUUUUAUAUUGUCGUUUGGAGUGAUGUGCAUGACUGAAAUUUCAAAAGAGGAGUUGAGAACAAAAAUAUUUCAAAAUGUAGUUUUUAUUUCAACGGUUUUGUUGCUAGUUUUUGGAAUUGGUGUUUACGGUUUCAAUAACCAAGAUGCGAAUUAUAGCCAAGUAAAGUUUAACAAACCUGGAUUAGGCAAUAUGAUAACAAUCGUGAGUUAUGCUUUAGAAUAUAUGUUAGUUUAUGCUCCACUUACUGUGAUCCUGCUCUGGAACAUGAAGGGAUGUGUUCUCGUUAAAGAUAAAAAAGGUGAACAUCACGACGAGCAGUGUAUGACGUGUGACAAUAAUAUCAUGGUACAACGACAUAUCUUAAUAUUUAUGAUGUUUGUGAUUUGGAUCGUUAGACCAUGUUUUUGGAUUAUAAACUCUCAUUUCAAUGUAAUUACACAAGAUUUUAUUCCUAGUAUGACAGUGUGUAUGGUUUAUAUUUAUAUACUUUGGGAUUUUGGUAUAUAUCAAUUAAGGGACUUCUUAUGUAGGAUGUCAUAGUUGUUAAAACAGAUUCAGAAUUUUGUUAAAGCCAUAAAAACAACAUUGUUUUCUUUAUUUAUACAUUUUUACAUUCAAGAAAAAAAGUAAAGAAAUCUUAUCAGGUA